UGUGUCCUCCGACCUCCCUCUCUCUCUCUGACCAGCCCUCUCUUCUGUCCUCUCUCCACUCUCACCCCUCAAACAGAAUUUUUUGUGUGUUACAGAAGCCAAUAAAACAAUGUCGUCGACGGAAAAAAAAUUCCCGCCGAUAACAAAGUGCGGCGAGACGACGACGACUUCGUACGGUUCUAUCGCAGCAGAUCUGGACAGAACACCUUUGAUCUCCAGAAGCUCCGUCCCUUACUUCAUGCUCGUCGCCAUGAGUGGACCACAAGUACCAUUGAACUUUGCUAAGGAACAUCUUAAGAAUGAGGGUUCUGUCAUUCUUUUGAUUCCGGACAGAGGAUUUUGGUCUGCUAAAUUUGAAAUAAAGCACAAAAGCUAUAGCAAAAGGAGAGCUGAAUUUAGUUGUGGUUGGAAAGUCUUUGCCAAGGACAAUUAUUUGAAAGUUGGUGAUGUCUGCAUUUUCGAGCUUCUUAAGAGAUCCGAAAAUGUAUUCAAGGUUUCCAUUGACUAUGCUGCUGAAUAUGCAUCCGACUAAAAUCUCAAGCUGAUGGAAUCAAAGCAAAGCCAAAAGGAGAAGUGGGAGAAGUUACUGAGUUGUUUUUUGAAUUAUGUCUGCAUAAUGGAGAACUUGCUAUGCUUUAAAACUCAAAACUAAAUAUGGUGAAUGAAUCUAUGAGUUACUGGAGGCGGUGGAUACACAAAAGAGAACGUUGCUCGAUGUUGGACUGUUGAAACUGGAGUUCUUCUAGACAGAGAGCUUCCAAAUGGUAUGUCAAGUCUUCUUCACUUUUAACUUUUAUUUCUUGGUUCAAAAUGUGGUCAACCUCAAUGAUGGAAUGUUAAAUGAGAUUGAGUAAGAUAAUUGUUAUUUGUAUAUGAAUUAUUUAAAUUAUUAUGUAUGGAGGUUGUAUAGGAUGGAUAUUAGGUAGUGUAGUAUGAUGAUGUUGAUAAGUUGGAUGAUUGGUGGGACAAGGAAGAGUUAUGUUUUAAUUUUUAUGUGUGUAGGAAAAGAGGAGACAAGAUAGUAAGUUAGUAGUAAAAGACUUGAUUUGGCUACUCAAGCUUGGUUACAAUUUGGAAGCUUGAUGGGGUAUUUAUAGUUGCUUACCCCUACAUUUAAUUUUAUCUAGAUUAUUCUAGUUCUAUAUGAUUUACAACUUUUCUAGACUUUUCUAAUUGAUUUACAUUCUUCUUGAUUGGUUACUUCUAGUUUUCUAAAUAUUCUAGGCUUUUCUAGUUUAUUUAUUUUACUAGAUUUCUAAAGUUUUCACUAGAAUAUUCUAAGAUACAAAUAUUCUAGGAAUGUGUAGCACAUUUUAACACCCAAUUUAGUUGUGGUAGGAAAAAAAUGUUGGGUUCUGUUCUAUUCAAAUUCUAUAAGAUUUUCUUUAUAAUUUUUCUUU
This is an RNA transcript of Humulus lupulus (European hop), 1400 nucleotides long. It is a transcript of the gene named histone deacetylase 17-like, with no coding region annotated. The transcript has 4 exons. Lineage: Eukaryota; Viridiplantae; Streptophyta; Magnoliopsida; Rosales; Cannabaceae. The record is from RefSeq and is a predicted model, not a curated record.